AAGGCGGGACGGUCUGCCGCGGCAGAAAUGCUGAGGAAAGUCCGGACAGAACAGGGCGCCCUGCUGCGGAAAUCGCAGGUGGGGGUAACCUUACGCACGCCGUAACAGAAAACUACCGCCAGGCUUGCCUGGUAAGGGUGAAAACGCGAGGCAAGAGCUCACGACGCAUUGUAGCGAUAUAAUGCGGGUACGGCACCAGGGUCUGCAAGACCAAAUAUACUGACAGUUGAGGGCGGCCCGCCUGAUGUCAGGGGGUAGGUUGCGAAGAUAAAUGGCAGAAUAAACAGAAACCGGCUUAUGGUUCCGCCUUUUUU
RNAcentral lists this RNase P RNA (314 nucleotides) under Bacteroidales bacterium. RNAcentral's name for it is "RNase P RNA component class A". It matches the Rfam family "Bacterial RNase P class A". From Rfam's summary of the family: Ribonuclease P (RNase P) is a ubiquitous endoribonuclease, found in archaea, bacteria and eukarya as well as chloroplasts and mitochondria. Its best characterised activity is the generation of mature 5'-ends of tRNAs by cleaving the 5'-leader elements of precursor-tRNAs. Cellular RNase Ps are ribonucleoproteins. Lineage: Bacteria; Pseudomonadati; Bacteroidota; Bacteroidia; Bacteroidales. The record is from RNAcentral.